UACGUAGGGUGCGAGCGUUGUCCGGAUUUACUGGGCGUAAAGGGAGCGUAGGCGGACUUUUAAGUGAGAUGUGAAAUACCCGGGCUCAACUUGGGUGCUGCAUUUCAAACUGGAAGUCUAGAGUGCAGGAGAGGAGAAUGGAAUUCCUAGUGUAGCGGUGAAAUGCGUAGAGAUUAGGAAGAACACCAGUGGCGAAGGCGAUUCUCUGGACUGUAACUGACGCUGAGGCUCGAAAGCGUGGGGAGCAAACAGGAUUAGAUUCCCCCGUAGU
This 271-nucleotide ribosomal RNA is filed under the name uncultured prokaryote. RNAcentral describes it as "partial 16S ribosomal RNA". It matches the Rfam family "Bacterial small subunit ribosomal RNA", at positions 524 to 794 of the family's 1533-position model. The record is from RNAcentral.